AUGCUAGAAUGGUUAUUGCCUUCACAUGGAUCUAGCGACCUCAGUGCCAUCUCGUCUUCUUCGAGCAUAAGAAGGUUUGACUAAACGCUGUCAGGUCGCGCUGAGAUACCGGCCGCGAAGCUCUCCAUAUCAAAAAUGGCGUAACAAGGGGACAAGCCGCUAAACUUCUCGAGAGCCGGUACUAUGAAACAGCUAUUUCACAACGCCCAACGUAUCCUGUGAACACGCUAAUAUUAUACAGUCCGUAAUUAACAUGUGUUUUGAGAGAAGUGUUUGACGUAAGAAAAAUUGAAGCCUACCUUAUUUCACAGCCAUAUUGCGAAGAGAUACUUGGCCGCAUUUCAUAAACCACGGUCGUGAUAAAUAAAAUGUCUGCAUCCUUGACAGUGCUGAUUCUUUUCGAAGAAAAAAGAGUGUAAUGUGAGUACAAUUGACAAGGGAAUUGUCAAAUGCUCAUGCGACGUCAGCUUGUUGAAGUACUGAGUUGCUGCGUUGCGGGUAGCAGGUGGCAGGUGGCAUAUGUUUCAAUCAGUUCAUCACCGGUGAGUCCGUUCCAUUAUGCUUCUAUAAGAGUUUGUUAGGAAUUAUAGGGCAGAGUCGAAGACACACACACGCACGCACACACACACACACACAUA
This is a long non-coding RNA of Megalopta genalis, 638 nucleotides long. RefSeq lists it as uncharacterized. Lineage: Eukaryota; Metazoa; Arthropoda; Insecta; Hymenoptera; Halictidae. The record is from RefSeq and is a predicted model, not a curated record.